RNAcentral lists this ribosomal RNA (253 nucleotides) under uncultured bacterium. RNAcentral's name for it is "partial 16S ribosomal RNA". It matches the Rfam family "Bacterial small subunit ribosomal RNA", at positions 524 to 776 of the family's 1533-position model. The record is from RNAcentral.
UACGUAGGGGGCAAGCGUUGUCCGGAAUCAUUGGGCGUAAAGAGCGUGUAGGCGGUCCGAUAAGUCCGCUCUGAAAGCCCGGGGCUCAACCCCGGGAGGCGGGCGGAUACUGUCGGGCUAGAGUCCGGAAGAGGCAAGUGGAAUUCCUGGUGUAGCGGUGAAAUGCGCAGAUAUCAGGAGGAACACCGAUGGCGAAGGCAGCUUGCUGGGACGGUAUUGACGCUGAGACGCGAAAGCGUGGGGAGCAAACAGG